UGGAGAAUGGUGGAAUUGGUAGACACACCGUACUAUGGAGCGGCGAAGGUAGCGCAACCUUCUUUGUAGGUUCAAGUCCUACUUCUCCAGCCA
This 93-nucleotide transfer RNA is filed under the name Clostridiaceae bacterium. Its description in RNAcentral is "tRNA-OTHER". It matches the Rfam family "tRNA". From Rfam's summary of the family: Transfer RNA (tRNA) molecules are approximately 80 nucleotides in length. Their secondary structure includes four short double-helical elements and three loops (D, anti-codon, and T loops). RNAcentral also lists the same sequence under 1 other name. Lineage: Bacteria; Bacillati; Bacillota; Clostridia; Eubacteriales; Clostridiaceae. The record is from RNAcentral.